GAUGAAGAACGUAGCGAAAUGGGAUAAGUAAUGUGAAUUGCAGAAUUCAGUGAAUCAUCGAAUCUUUGAACGCACAUUGCGCCCGCUAGUACUCUAGCGGGCAUGCCUGUUCGAGCGUCAUUUCAACCCUCAAGCCCUGCUUGGUGUUGGGGCCCUACGGCUGCCGUAGGCCCUGAAAGGAAGUGGCGGGCUCGCUACAACUCCGAGCGUAGUAAUUCAUUAUCUCGCUUAGGGUGUUGUGCGGUGCUCCAGCCGUUAAAGACCAUCUUUAACUCAAGGUUGACCUCGGAUCAGGAAGGAAUACCCGCUGAACUUAAGCAUAUCAAUAAGCGGAGGA
RNAcentral lists this unclassified non-coding RNA (337 nucleotides) under soil metagenome. RNAcentral's name for it is "partial contains 5.8S ribosomal RNA, internal transcribed spacer 2, and large subunit ribosomal RNA". The stretch from base 1 to 120 matches the Rfam family "5.8S ribosomal RNA", at positions 35 to 154 of the family's 154-position model. The record is from RNAcentral.